GGGCGGGUAGCUCAACUGGAUAGAGCAGGUGGCUCUUAACCACCCGGUUGAGGGUUCGAGUCCCUCCCCGCUCACCA
RNAcentral lists this transfer RNA (77 nucleotides) under Candidatus Woykebacteria bacterium RBG_19FT_COMBO_43_10. Its description in RNAcentral is "tRNA-Lys". It matches the Rfam family "tRNA". Rfam says of the family: Transfer RNA (tRNA) molecules are approximately 80 nucleotides in length. Their secondary structure includes four short double-helical elements and three loops (D, anti-codon, and T loops). Lineage: Bacteria; Candidatus Woykeibacteriota. The record is from RNAcentral.